GAUGAACGCUGGCGGCGUGCCUAAUACAUGCAAGUCGAGCGAACAGACGAGGAGCUUGCUCCUCUGACGUUCGCGGCGGACGGGUGAGUAACACGUGGAUAACCUACCUAUAAGACUGGGAUAACUUCGGGAAACCGGAGCUAAUACCGGAUAAUAUAUUGAACCGCAUGGUUCAAUAGUGAAAGACGGUUUUGCUUUCACUUAUAGAUGGAUCCGCGCCGCAUUAGCUAGUUGGUAAGGUAACGGCUUACCAAGGCGACGAUGCGUAGCCGACCUGAGAGGGUGAUCGGCCACACUGGAACUGAGACACGGUCCAGACUCCUACGGGAGGCAGCAGUAGGGAAUCUUCCGCAAUGGGCGAAAGCCUGACGGAGCAACGCCGCGUGAGUGAUGAAGGUCUUCGGAUCGUAAAACUCUGUUAUUAGGGAAGAACAAAUGUGUAAGUAACUAUGCACGUCUUGACGGUACCUAAUCAGAAAGCCACGGCUAACUACGUG
RNAcentral lists this ribosomal RNA (497 nucleotides) under uncultured bacterium. RNAcentral's name for it is "partial 16S ribosomal RNA". It matches the Rfam family "Bacterial small subunit ribosomal RNA", at positions 28 to 507 of the family's 1533-position model. The record is from RNAcentral.